Non-coding RNA from Podarcis lilfordi (Lilford's wall lizard), 3420 nucleotides. The record is from the annotation of a GenBank genome assembly. Lineage: Eukaryota; Metazoa; Chordata; Lepidosauria; Squamata; Lacertidae.
GCAGCAGGUCCAGCUUUGGAGCAUGUGGAGCAAGGCUGGAUGUUUCAAUACUCUCUGACUAAAUAAACUCUUCCUGCUUGUAGAAACAAGCAUAUCAGGCUGAAGGCUGGACUGACGUGCUCAUUUUCUAUGCCCAAGGAUGAGGCUUUAUUGUGGACUGGGAAGCAUCCAGGUCAAUCAAUAGCAUUUAUUGUGAGCAGAUUCAUGCCAUUCUUGUUUCUUGGAAAAAAACGAGCUCCCCUUUUGACACUUCCUAAGAUGUUCAGUAUGGGUGUGUGGGUGUUUAAAUCCUUCAUGACUACAGCAGACUACACCAUUAGACAGCCCUCAUAAAUUUGUUCACCUUUAUUGAGAAAGCAUGACUGUCCCACAGAGACCUUUCCAUAUCUGCAUCAGGUUUACAACCACCAUGUAUUAACGGCCAAUUUGUGGCUAAUAGCUCUCAGAUCCCUGAGUCUACCUGAAUGUGAAAGGGCUGUCUUUGGGAAUCUCUAUGGUCUCUGGAAACACAAAGCAAUAUUAUCUAAGCAUGGUGCUUUGCAUAUUUACAAAGGGCUUCCAAAGUUUGUUCCAAAGUAGAUACCAAGACACAACCUCCUAGAAGGGAAGGAGAGAGGGAGGGAGAGAGAAAGAUGAGAGAAGGAGAGAUAGAAAGGAAAAGAUGCCUAUAAUUAUGUUAUUGAAGAACUGUUCUGUUUGGUAUUAUUUAGGGUUAUUUUUAUUAUGAUGUUGAGAUGAGUUUCUUAAAGAGGAAAACUCCCAGGUUUUAUGGCAUCUCUUGCUAGAGAGAAUCCUUGGGUGAUUUGAUAGCCUAUUUGAACAAGAGUGAUGCUUUAUGGGCCCCUAUAAAAACUGAUGACCCCUCUCACAUUUGUAUUUAAUGAAAUCAGGAGGAGCUUUGGUUAUGUUUUCAAUAACCUUCAGUGCUAGCUUCAACCUACCUCUCUCAUGAGCUGAAAUCGGCCCGAAGCCCCCAAGUCUCAGCUGGAGAACACCCCAGACCGUUUGGCUGCUAAGAGCCAUAAUCAGGACUGAAGAUUUUGCUGGUUGGGCUGGAAUUGUGUUCUAAAUUCUCUCCCACUUCUCUUAUUUGGGGAGCAGUGGGGAAAGAGAUGCAGAGACUGCUUGUGUGCUGGAUUUAUUUGCAUAUGUUAACACACUUUGCAUAUAGUUGCACAUCUGCAUUUUUUUCUUUAAUUGAAAGGUAGCUUUUUAUACAUCCUUGCACACCACUUGGUUAGUUACACAAGAAUCUGGCUCAUGUCUGCAUGCACGAUACUUGAUGCCGUGACAACACGUGAAGAGUGCAUGAACUGACUAUGUUCAAAAGUCUUGCUUUUUGAGGCAAUGUGAAGGUAAGGCCUGUAGCUCAGCAGUAGAGCAUCUGCUUUGCAUUGAGAAGGUCCCAGGUUCAACCCCUGACCUCUCUAGGUAGGGCUGGGAGAGAUUUCCUGCCUGAAACCUUGGUGAGUCUCUGCCAGUCAGUGUAGACAAUACUGAGUUAGGUGGACCAAUGGUUGGACUCUGUAUAAGGCAGCUACCUAGGUUCCAAUUAACAAUGAACUCCAUAUUCAGAACCAUGAGGACUGGAAUCUUGAUCUUUAGGGGAAGGAGCACAGCUGAGUGGUAUAGUACAUGUUCCAUCUAGAGAUGGAGGAGAAAUUCAUUCAGUUCCCAUUUUAGUAUGAAUUUCCCAAAUCCUGAAUUAUGCAAUGCACUUGUCCAAAUCAGUAAUGGGUAUAUUGGUGGAAACCUACAGAAAUGAGUUCUGUUGGGUGUGGGGGAGGAAUGGUUCGCAAAACUGUUUAUACUACUCCAAUUUUGCUAGGGAAAAAAAACAUAUAUAAGGAGAAAUAUAUAUGAAAAUGUAUAUUGCAAAUGCGAUUAAAAUAAAUAAAUAGGGCAAAUUGCUUUUAAGAUUGGAGAGUGAGAGUAACUGGAAAUUGCCCAGGUUUCAUCUGUCCCUAAUUCUAUCUGUGUCACGAUGCCUUCGAUGAUGUCACCAGCCUUCAGUCAAACUCAUGCUGGAGGUCCAGUCCAUGCAAAGGCUGCUAAGGGCCUAAGCCUAACUUGCCUCUCUAAGUUCUUUGUGGGGUGUGUGGGAAAGGGAAAGCCAUUUUAAGCAUCACCCCUGAGCCCCCUAGGAGGAAGGGUGAGAUAAAACCAUCCCAAUUAAAAGUAAUAAAAGCAGACAGGUCUCUGCCCUGAAGAGCACACAAUCAAGAAGGCCUGUGUUUGAGGAAAGAUGGACUGGACUCUUGGACAUAAUUGGUGGCCUCCUGCAAAGUGAGGCUUAAUUAAAACUUUUAAGUGACUCCACAAUGUAGAUUUUUUUCUUUCUCAUUUUGAUGGCUCCCUGUAGUCCAUGAGCCUCAAGGUUGGUCUAAGGUGAAAGCGCUGAGGAGAGAAGGAGAUCCAAAUGCUCCACUGUGUGUGAUGUGAAUGAGAAUGAAGAGAAGGGCAUAUCCCCUUCCUAGCUGUUCCACUGGCCAUCCGAUCUAGAGCUCAGAGUUUGCAGUGAAGAGGAAAUCUGGCAGGCUUUAUGAGGACACUUCCAAGCCCGUUGACCGUCAUUUGCAUUCUGGGCCUGCAGUAGACUCUACAGAGGCAGAUGCCUUAUGAAUAAGCCUGAAAGCCAAGCUAUAACAUCCUUGUGGUGAAAUGAUUCAGAGUAAUGUUUCGUCAAGCUGCGCUUUAAUAGGCGAGAGGUCUUAUUUUUAUGAUCAUUGCAAUGUAAAGGGUCACCAUCUUAAUGUUCUAAUACUGUGUUUUAAACAACAUUUACACUUUAACAUAUUGAAAAAUCUCAUCUUUUCCUGCCUGCUGGGAUGACAACACAAUUCAAAUCCAUCAGCAUGGCAGUAUAUUCAGAUGUUUUAAACAUAAAUCAGCCUUGAUGAUCCAUUCCCCCCCCACCUUCUUUAGUCCAUGCAUUCCACUCCCCAGAAAAAAAAGAGGGGGGGAGAGAGGUAGUGGUGCCGGUGCCUGAACUCAUACUGUAGAGUUCUUUAACUUGUUCAUUGCUUUUUCUUUUUCUUUUUUUUAGUUCAGUGGAAUAUCCCACCUGAAUAAUUCAGAGGAGUCAAGGAGAGAGCGGAAAUGGUAAUGGCAGUCCAGCCGUCAACAGAGACACGAUGCUUUAUGACCUCUUUUAGAGUCGAGGGAAACAGAUGCUGGAGUGCAGCAGAAAGUUUGCAAAUUGCUUUUGCGAGUGCAGAGCGAGGGAAACCGUGCAUCAUAUGGGGAAGUGAAGUGACAUGGGGGGUGGGGGACAGGGGAACGGCGGUGGCAGGAGAUGUUUGAAUCCCAGUGAAAUGUUGAGAGUUGGCCAUGAGGAAGAAAACACGCUCAGCAGGGGGCUGUGAUCCACAGCAUAACUGGUGGGAUGGAAGAAAGAAUUCCCAUUGAAAUAAGCAGGAC